UGGGGAAUAUUGGACAAUGGGCGAAAGCCUGAUCCAGCCAUGCCGCGUGUGUGAAGAAGGUCUUCGGAUUGUAAAGCACUUUAAGUUGGGAGGAAGGGCAUUAACCUAAUACGUUAGUGUUUUGACGUUACCGACAGAAUAAGCACCGGCUAACUCUGUGCCAGCAGCCGCGGAAAUACAGAGGGUGCAAGCGUUAAUCGGAAUUACUGGGCGUAAAGCGCGCGUAUGUGGUUUGUUAAGUUGGAUGUGAAAUCCCCGGGCUCAACCUGGGAACUGCAUUCAAAACUGACUGACUAGAGUAUGGUAGAGGGUGGUGGAAUUUCCUGUGUAGCGGUGAAAUGCGUAGAUAUAGGAAGGAACACCAGUGGCGAAGGCGACCACCUGGACUAAUACUGACACUGAGGUGCGAAAGCGUGGGGAGCAAACA
This 427-nucleotide ribosomal RNA is filed under the name uncultured bacterium. RNAcentral describes it as "partial 16S ribosomal RNA". It matches the Rfam family "Bacterial small subunit ribosomal RNA", at positions 355 to 774 of the family's 1533-position model. The record is from RNAcentral.